Haliotis rufescens (red abalone) is the source of this 246-nucleotide long non-coding RNA. RefSeq lists it as uncharacterized. The transcript is spliced from 3 exons. NCBI's taxonomy places the organism in Eukaryota, Metazoa, Mollusca, Gastropoda, Lepetellida, Haliotidae. The record is from RefSeq and is a predicted model, not a curated record.
UAAAAGAUCUGUUGCUAUUUGUUACCUCAAGGAAACACCAUAGACUCAGCGGGAUUUAUUGCCGAUUUCUUAUCAUGUGAGGAUUUGGAUUUGUGAAAGGAUUUAUUCAUAUUUGAGAUUUCUCAGUAGCAACAUUCACCGUUCGAUCACUGUCACGGUAUUACCAGUUCAGGUAUCACCUAUCUGACUGAAAUUAAGUACGUACAUUCGUACUGAUUAUAAAAUAAACGUCAUCAGCCUCACCCC